ACAGCGAAACAUUUAUACAAAACACCUAUCCCGAGCACACGCAAGGGAACCGUAGACAGGCAAGUGAAAUCCAAUCCACGAAAUAAUUUGAUCCAUGGACGGCACCGUUGUGGUAAAGGUCGUAAUUCCAGAGGAAUCAUUACCGCAAGGCAUAGAGGGGGAGGUCAUAAGCGCCUAUACCGUAAAAUAGAUUUUCGACGGAAUCAAAAAGACAUAUCUAGUAGAAUCGUAACCAUAGAAUACGACCCUAAUCGAAAUGCCUACAUUUGUCUCAUACACUAUGGGGAUGGUGAGAAGAGAUAUAUUUUACAUCCCAGAGGGGCUAUAAUUGGAGAUACUAUUGUUUCUGGUACAAAAGUUCCUAUAUCAAUGGGAAAUGCCCUACCUUUGACUGAUAUUCCCUUAGGCACGGCCAUGCAUAACAUAGAAAUCACGCGUGGAAGGGGUGGGCAAUUAGCUAGAGCAGCAGGUGUUGUAGCAAAAUUCAUUGCAAAAGAGGGUAAAUCGGCCACUUUAAGAUUACCAUCUGGGGAGGUCCGUUUAGUAUCCCAAAACUGCUUAGCAACAGUCGGACAAGUGGGUAAUGUUGGGGUGAACCAAAAAAGUUUGGGUAGAGCCGGAUCUAAGUGUUGGCUAGGUAAACGCCCCGUAGUAAGAGGGGUAGUUAUGAACCUUGUGGACCACCCCCAUGGGGGCGGUGAAGGGAAAGCUCCCAUUGGUAGAAAAAAAACCCACAACCCCUUGGGGUUAUCCUACGCUUGGAAGAAGAACUAG
Molecule: ribosomal RNA, 774 nt
Filed under: Triticum aestivum (bread wheat)
Lineage: Eukaryota; Viridiplantae; Streptophyta; Magnoliopsida; Poales; Poaceae
Description: partial small subunit ribosomal RNA
Source: RNAcentral